UACGUAGGGUGCGAGCGUUAAUCGGAAUUACUGGGCGUAAAGCGUGCGCAGACGGUUCGUUGUGUCUGAUGUGAAAGCCCCGGGCUCAACCUGGGAAUGGCAUUGGAAACUGGCGAGCUGGAGUGUGGCAGAGGGGGGUGGAAUUCCGCGUGUAGCAGUGAAAUGCGUAGAGAUGCGGAGGAACACCGAUGGCGAAGGCAGCCCCCUGGGCCAACACUGACGCUCAGGCACGAAAGCGUGGGGAGCAAACAGG
Molecule: ribosomal RNA, 253 nt
Filed under: uncultured bacterium
Lineage: Bacteria
Description: partial 16S ribosomal RNA
Rfam family: Bacterial small subunit ribosomal RNA
Source: RNAcentral